AUGCACGCUGGCGGCGUGCCAAAUACAUGCAAGUCGAGCGAACAGACGAGGAGCUUGCUCCUCUGACGUUAGCGGCGGACGGGUGAGUAACACGUGGAUAACCUACCUAUAAGACUGGGAUAACUUCGGGAAACCGGAGCUAAUACCGGAUAAUAUAUUGAACCGCAUGGUUCAAUAGUGAAAGACGGUUUUGCUGUCACUUAUAGAUGGAUCCGCGCCGCAUUAGCUAGUUGGUAAGGUAACGGCUUACCAAGGCAACGAUGCGUAGCCGACCUGAGAGGGUGAUCGGCCACACUGGAACUGAGACACGGUCCAGACUCCUACGGGAGGCAGCAGUAGGGAAUCUUCCGCAAUGGGCGAAAGCCUGACGGAGCAACGCCGCGUGAGUGAUGAAGGUCUUCGGAUCGUAAAACUCUGUUAUUAGGGAAGAACAAAUGUGUAAGUAACUAUGCACGUCUUGACGGUACCUAAUCAGAAAGCCACGGCUAACUACGUG
Molecule: ribosomal RNA, 496 nt
Filed under: uncultured bacterium
Lineage: Bacteria
Description: partial 16S ribosomal RNA
Rfam family: Bacterial small subunit ribosomal RNA
Source: RNAcentral